Halocaridina rubra (Hawaiian volcano shrimp) is the source of this 80-nucleotide non-coding RNA. The record is from the annotation of a GenBank genome assembly. Lineage: Eukaryota; Metazoa; Arthropoda; Malacostraca; Decapoda; Atyidae.
UCUUCUGUGGUGUAGUUGGUAGCGCCUUGGCUUAGUAAUUAGCCUAUAUGUCCCAGGUUCAAGUCCCGGUCGCGGUAAAA